Long non-coding RNA from Pipra filicauda (Wire-tailed manakin), 2870 nucleotides. RefSeq lists it as uncharacterized. The record is from RefSeq and is a predicted model, not a curated record. NCBI's taxonomy places the organism in Eukaryota, Metazoa, Chordata, Aves, Passeriformes, Pipridae. The transcript has 2 exons.
UCUGUGGUUCUGUCAUUCAGUGGCAAUAAUUAUUAAAAAUACCUGCUAGGGGAUAAGGAUGAGGACUGCUGGGAUAGAAGAAUUACUAACAAGCAGCAAAGUCUUCAGAGCAGAGUCUCUCUCUGUUUCAUGAAUAGGCUGAUAAACCCAAGUGCUUCUCCACAGUGAUAUCAAACCAAAAAUUAUGACUGAAAUCCUACUGGCAAUUGUUGCCCCCGAGCCUUCAUUAUGGCCCUGUUUUUUUCCUGAUCUUCCAGCCCCGAAGGAAUUGGCCAGGGAGCUCCUGCUGUCUGGCUGGUUUGUGCUGACUGUCCCCCCCAGCUCUCUGGAGUAGUUCACACAGCACUGAGUGAAAAGGAUGCCUGGUCUGACUGAAUCAUUCCUCAUUAGCUCAGUGGGCAGCAGAUUUAGGAGCUAGAUUUGCAAUGAACAUUUAUUAGAUUUUGUCUCUUCUGGGGAUAGCUAAUUUUUUUUUAUCAUCAGAUUCCAUGACUUAGUAGCAUAAUUAGCUAUUAGACAUAUAUACUCCAGUCAAGAGCUGCUUUUUAAUUUUUUUGUAAGCCUGCUUAAUCUAGGGGACUUUCUUUUCUCAUUUAUAGGGGAGUUUUGCACAGUUCUUCUGACAAGUGCAAGAUAGCCAGUGGGAAUGAGAUCUGUAAUUAAUCCACUGAAUGCUCAGUGCAGGCAGAACAGCUCUUGGGUGAAGAAACUCUUCAUGCUCUGGAAGGUCUCUGUUGGAGUCCUGUGGUUCAAAUACUUCAGUAAGUUCCAUAUAGACUAACAGUAUCCUGGGACUGAUACAGGUUGAUGCCUAGACUGGAUAAAGAGGAAAAAUCCAAGCACGUGGUUUCCAGAAUUCACUGGCUGGUGAGAAUCAAAACAUCUCCUGAUUUGCCUGAGGAUCUUAAUUUUUUUUUGGAAGAUAUUUAAUGGGAAAAGGGAGAAAAAUACAGAUAUUUCACAGAGAAUAUAGACAGAACAGCAGGAUGGGGGGAGUGUGGAAGUAGGUCAGAUGCAUUGCAGACAAAAAAAAUCAUUAUUAUGAUUAGGAGAGAUUAAGGAAGGCAAGAGCAAACAGCAUCAAAGGAAUCCAAUUUAUCAAGCCAUUUAAACAAGAGCGUUCCUUGCGAGGCAAGUUCUCCAUACUGCACAUCAAUUUGGAACAAAAUGAGAGGAGACUGUCCCACACUAUAUAUCUAAUUCAAGAGCUACUCUUCUCUAAAUUAAUCCAUGAAGAAACCUGUUUUAAUUGUCGUGAGGAACAAACACUGCAGAACUGCUGCCCACCUUCCUUGCUUGAGUUCUUUCAGCUCUUUCAUUUUUCAGGCUCUAAUUACCACUUGGAGCUGCAGGUGAGGGAUGCACUGGGGGAAUGGCAGUGCUGGCUGACAGCACUCAAUCAAUCCCUGCUGCAGCACAGCAGGUGCUUCACAUGAAAUAAGGAGAGUCUCAGCUCCAAGAUUUCGUGUAAAAGGCAAUUUAUAAGGGUGAAGUUAUUUCUUCUGAGGACAUUAAGAAACUUGGCAAUGACAAGUAGAUUUUGUUGCUUAACUUUUGGGCAAUGAGGAGCCUGGGAGAUGUGACCAGAUGUGACUCAGUCUCCUUUUCUGCCCCUUUUUUUUGGUUUUGAUGAGCUUCUCUGUCCCAUGUGCCAUAACAGCAGGGACGUGGAUUUUGAGUUGAAUGAGGUUUGCUUGCCUUGUUUGUAUCAGAAAUACUGAAUACUGAAAACUUUAGCUCUGUAAAACAGAACAUUCUUCUCCUCCAGCAUGUUUUGGGGUUUUUUUUAUGUACCAAAGAGACUUUAAUGGUAAACAUAGGCAGUGCCUCUUCAUUUGCAAGAGGCCUUUUGUAAGACAGACCCUGUGCUGCAUGAAUUCUGUUGUAAUUGAGAUUUUGAGGCCUGUGAGACAGACCCUGUGCUGCAUGAAUUCUGUUGUAAUUGAGAUUUUGAGGCCUGUGAGACAGACCCUGUGCUGCAUGAAUUCUCUGACUUCACCCCAAGCUGGAGUGCUCCUUGCAUGUUUUUAUCAUUGGCUUGGGUCCUCCAGACAGAAACCACAACCUCUGAGCUGUUUGACAGAGCUCAAAUGUUUCUUAGCAGGAGCAAGCUGUCAGAAAUUUGAACAAGAUGUUGAUGUCUCUUAGCAGUGGGUUAAACACUGGCUGAACAUCUGAAAUCUCAGAGCUCUGCUGCCAGGGCUGGUUGUGCAACCUGAACCAGGCCCUGCAGAACUGCUGACUCGAGCCAGAGUGGGGGGAAAGUUUGGCAUUUUAGAAGUUUUUCAUUAACAACACAUUUUAUGCCACUCAUUAGUUGCCUAUUCAGGAGGAACUGGGGGCUGAAGAAUGCUGAAAUUUCCAAGUGUUGGUUCCCCAUCCAGCUGAAGUUACAGCUGGGGCAUCCUCAGCCUUCCAAGAUGAGAAGUCGAUUCUUUUCUGCUGCUUUUGCAGUGAUUUGGGGCAGUACAAACCCAGCCUGAGUGAGCUCCUUUGUUCCUGACUGGCUGUCACAUUGUCACUCUGGCAGGGUCACCCUUCAGGUCCAGACACUGCCACAACUCUGCUCUUUGUACAGCAGAUAUUUCUGAGAUUGGUGGAAAUAACCUGACUCUCCUUUGUUUGGGCAACAGAGUGAGUGUAUGGGGAAAAUCUCAUCCCCAGUCUUGUCUUGGACCUCUUCCAAAGAUUGGCAUAAAUGUGGAAGCAAGAUAUUCAUCUUUUUAUUUUGAUGAAACUCCAGAUCCUGAUGGUUUUAUGCAUGUUAAAGGCUUCCUUCAAGUCUUGCUACCACAGCUCUGACUGGUCUAAGUUGUUCUGGAGCUUCUGGGCUCAAUAAAAUUAUGGUAAAUUUUACCAGUAAGAUUUUG